This 440-nucleotide ribosomal RNA is filed under the name uncultured bacterium. RNAcentral describes it as "partial 16S ribosomal RNA". It matches the Rfam family "Bacterial small subunit ribosomal RNA", at positions 338 to 795 of the family's 1533-position model. The record is from RNAcentral.
CCUACGGGUGGCAGCAGUGGGGAAUAUUGCACAAUGGGGGAAACCCUGAUGCAGCGACGCCGCGUGAGUGAAGAAGUAUCUCGGUACGUAAAGCUCUAUCAGCAGGGAAGAAAAUGACGGUAACUGACUAAGAAGCCCCGGCUAACUACGUGCCAGCAGCCGCGGUAAUACGUAGGGGGCAAGCUUUAUCCGGAUUUACUGGGUGUAAAGGGAGCGUAGACGGACGCAUAAGUCUGGGGUGAAAUCCCGGGGCUUAACCCCGGAACUGCUUGGGAAAAUGUGCGGCUGGAGUGCAGGAGGGGUAAGCGGAAUUCCUAGUGUAGCAGUGAAAUGCGUAGAUAUUAGGAGGAACACCAGUGGCGAAGGCAGCUUACUGGACUGUAACUGACGUUGAGGCUCGAAAGCGUGGGGAGCAAACAGGAUUAGAUACCCCAGUAGUC